Molecule: long non-coding RNA, 596 nt
Filed under: Elaeis guineensis (African oil palm)
Lineage: Eukaryota; Viridiplantae; Streptophyta; Magnoliopsida; Arecales; Arecaceae
Description: long non-coding RNA (EGUI_LNC074300)
Source: RNAcentral
GGAGAGAGAGAGUAUCCAAGGGAUCAAAAUUUAACUUAACUAUCCGAUGGACUACUAGUUGGGGGUGUCUAUAACUUUAUAUCAUCGAAUAGAAUGUAUAGAAAUAAUCCAUUCGAGAAUUAGAGUAGUAUAUCAAAAUAUAUUCUUCCAUAAAAGUUUAUGCUUGAGAUGCAUUAAUUACUUUAAUUUUACUAUUUUAAUUAAUUUAGUUCUAAAAUUAUUAAUAACAUUUUAUUUUUCUUCGUUAUAGGAUCUAGGAUAUUUUGCUCAUCCACCUGCUGUUGCAGAGGAUGUACAGGAGAAGGAGGAGGAAGAUCUUCAUUGAUGUUUUUAGUUUUGAUGUAAUAUAUUUGAUAUUUGAGUAAUAUUAUUUAUAUAAUUAAUUUUAAUAUAAUAUAUAAUAUUAAUUUUUUAUUUGUGAUGGUGAUAGUUAAUCGUUAGUUGUUAUAAUAUCCAUAAAUAUAUGUUGGUUUUUAAUUUAGUUAUAAUAUAUUUUAAUAAAUAUAAUUACUUGUUAAUUAAAUUAUAAUAUAUCUUAAUAAAUAUAAUUAUUGAAAUUUUUUUAAAAAAUUAUGAUUAGCGAUGGCUGUUGCGAU